UCUGAUCCAAUCAAUGCGCUACCCCCACUUGGAGCGGAGCGCAUAUUCAAAUCCACUUUUUGGAGCGCAUUGCAUAUUCAAACCCGCGCAUUUGGAGCCAAACCCACUUGGAGAGCAUUUGGAGCGCAUUUAACCCACUUGGUUCAACAAUUUCAAAGGUACGUAGCUAUUUUUGGGCCGGCUAAUGUUGUGGUAAUGUUAUUUCAACCUGCUAGCUAGCAGAUAGAUGAUGCUAAUCUUAGCUGUGGUAAUGUCAUUUCUACCUGCUAGCGAGCUAAAUCUGGUUAAAACAUUAGGUAACAAAGUAAGAUUAAUUACUGCAGAUUAAUCACUGUAUUUGAGUGAUUGUUAAUGGUUAGUGGUUAUCUUUCAAAUGAUGCCUGUGAGGCACUUGACGUUGAGACUGGUUGACUUCCAGGCUGCUUUGGAAUAAGGAUACCUCUGAGGCAGCCACCAGUCUUUGGAUAACUCUGAGGCAUCAUAGGUAGUGUUGACUGCCAGGCUGCCUAGUCGUUGGUAUACAGGUUAACUCACAGGCAUCCAGUUGGUUUUAGAUACCUGUAAGGCAUCUAGACGGACAUUAAGAGGGGCUGACUCCCAGGCUGCUUACUAACACUGGUUAGCUCUCAGGCAGCCAAUUAGCUUUGGAUGCCUGUGAGGCACUUGAUGUUGAGACUGGUUGACUGUAGACUGAUAUCACUUAGUUAAAUUGUCCUCAUGCCUCCUCAUACAGAUAGGCCUAUUGAAUAAAUCUGCCAGAUUAUUUUUAACAUUGCAUAUGCCUAACAUUAUGUGAUAAUACUAAUCACACUCAUAUUGCCUUUCUCUUUCAGUUCAUGAAGAAAUGGCGCCCAGGAAGGUAGGACGGAAGCGGAAGGCCCUGCAGGUGUCAAAAGGUGGACCAUCUGCAAAGAUCGCGAUUUUCCACCAGUCACCACUGGUUGGUGGAG
Molecule: long non-coding RNA, 950 nt
Organism: Pseudoliparis swirei
Lineage: Eukaryota; Metazoa; Chordata; Actinopteri; Perciformes; Liparidae
Exons: 3
Source: RefSeq, a predicted model, not a curated record